RNAcentral lists this transfer RNA (71 nucleotides) under Candidatus Nasuia deltocephalincola. RNAcentral's name for it is "Candidatus Nasuia deltocephalinicola tRNA-Met". It matches the Rfam family "tRNA". From Rfam's summary of the family: Transfer RNA (tRNA) molecules are approximately 80 nucleotides in length. Their secondary structure includes four short double-helical elements and three loops (D, anti-codon, and T loops). The record is from RNAcentral. Lineage: Bacteria; Pseudomonadati; Pseudomonadota; Betaproteobacteria.
AGCGAAUUAGCUCAGUGGUAGAGCAACAGAAUCAUAAAUUGUGUACUAGGGUUCGAUUCCCUGAUUCGCUA